RNAcentral lists this ribosomal RNA (215 nucleotides) under uncultured Staphylococcus sp. Its description in RNAcentral is "partial 16S ribosomal RNA". It matches the Rfam family "Bacterial small subunit ribosomal RNA", at positions 126 to 334 of the family's 1533-position model. Lineage: Bacteria; Bacillati; Bacillota; Bacilli; Caryophanales; Staphylococcaceae. The record is from RNAcentral.
CUACCUAUAAGACUGGGAGUAACUUCGUGAAACCGGAGCUAAUACCGGAUAAUAUAUUGAACCGCAUGGUUCAAUAGUGAAAGACGGUUUUGCUGUCACUUAUAGAUGGAUCCGCGCCGCAUUAGCUAGUUGGUAAGGUAACGGCUUACCAAGGCAACGAUGCGUAGCCGACCUGAGAGGGUGAUCGGCCACACUGGAACUGAGACACGGUCCAG